CCUACGGGAGGCACCAGUGGGGAAUAUUGCACGAUGGGCGCAAGCCUGAUGCAGCCAUGCCGCGUGUAUGAAGAAGGCCCUCGGGUUGUAAAGUACUUUCAGCGGGAAGGAAGGUGUUGUGGUUAAUAACCACAGCAAUUGACGUUACCCGCAGAAGAAGCACCGGCUAACUCCGUGCCAGCAGCCGCGGUAAUACGGAGGGUGCAAGCGUUAAUCGGAAUUACUGGGCGUAAAGCGCACGCAGGCGGUCUGUCAAGUCGGAUGUGAAAUCCCCGGGCUCAACCUGGGAACUGCAUUCGAAACUGGCAGGCUAGAGUCUUGUAGAGGGGGGUAGAAUUCCAGGUGUAGCGGUGAAAUGCGUAGAGAUCUGGAGGAAUACCGGUGGCGAAGGCGGCCCCCUGGACAAAGACUGACGCUCAGGUGCGAAAGCGUGGGGAGCAAACCGGAUUAGAUACCCCAGUAGUC
This 465-nucleotide ribosomal RNA is filed under the name uncultured bacterium. Its description in RNAcentral is "bacterial SSU rRNA". It matches the Rfam family "Bacterial small subunit ribosomal RNA", at positions 338 to 795 of the family's 1533-position model. The record is from RNAcentral.